CAAAGAAUACUCAGAAGCAGAGGAGAGAGAAGAUAAUAAUUGUAAGCCAGGCCAAGGAAGGUCCGGGCAGAUAUUUAGAUAUCACAAUGGCAUCACUUACUGGAAUACACAGCAGCGGCGGCGGGCAGCCGUUGAAGGCCAUGGAAGAAGAGCCAUUGUUGUUUGUAUACGCGCUGUUUCGCAAUCUGUUCAACUCAUCUUCCUUUAUUCCUUUCCUCCAGCUGUCGGCCCUGGAUUAUCUUGCUUAAUGUUCUCUAGCACCUUUUGAUAUCCUUUCCAAUUGUCAACUUUGGAAGAAUUCCUGCAGC
This 308-nucleotide small RNA is filed under the name Histoplasma capsulatum var. duboisii H88. RNAcentral's name for it is "Histoplasma capsulatum H88 hypothetical RNA". Lineage: Eukaryota; Fungi; Ascomycota; Eurotiomycetes; Onygenales; Ajellomycetaceae. The record is from RNAcentral.